GCCGCGGGGGAAAGGAGGAGAGACCUACAUUUAAAAAGGCAGGAACCAGCCUAGCGCCGAGAUCCAAAAAUGCCCGGGGAAACCUCCACUCACUGUGAACACGUUUAAAAGAUAUAAUCAGGGGAGCCAAGAUGGAAAUGGGCAAAAUGGCCAAGUUCAGCCAAGCGAUCUGUGCCACCAGACCUCAGCUGGAUACCAUCCAUGCACAGCUAACUGAGCCCCUGAUGACAUCACAGGAAGGCACCAUGGUCAACGUGCUUUGAAAGAGGAGUGACAGGCAUGUGCUCUCUGCAGAUGGUUCAGGCACACCACCGCCAACCUGGACAAUGAUUAACCCGGGGAAGGAUAAUCUCAGUCCGUGGGGUAGCAGUGAUCUCUACAAGAGGCUGGUUCUCACGCAGCCCGAGAGCCCUUUGCUCCUGACUGAUCCUUUCUCUCUCCCUGUCUUAUAUUUUCUCUUUCUCUCUUCCCUCCUUCCUCUCUCCCAUCUGCUUCUUGCUCUUUCUCCUGCCCUCCCCGUCCUUC
Molecule: non-coding RNA, 525 nt
Organism: Sus scrofa (pig)
Lineage: Eukaryota; Metazoa; Chordata; Mammalia; Artiodactyla; Suidae
Source: RefSeq, a predicted model, not a curated record